GUGAAAAUAGUUUAAUUAAAACACUGAAUUGUGGCUUCAGAAAUACGGAUUCGUUUUUCACU
Molecule: transfer RNA, 62 nt
Filed under: Dendronereis chipolini
Lineage: Eukaryota; Metazoa; Annelida; Polychaeta; Phyllodocida; Nereididae
Description: tRNA-His
Rfam family: tRNA
About the family: Transfer RNA (tRNA) molecules are approximately 80 nucleotides in length. Their secondary structure includes four short double-helical elements and three loops (D, anti-codon, and T loops).
Source: RNAcentral